RNAcentral lists this ribosomal RNA (253 nucleotides) under uncultured bacterium. Its description in RNAcentral is "partial 16S ribosomal RNA". It matches the Rfam family "Bacterial small subunit ribosomal RNA", at positions 524 to 776 of the family's 1533-position model. The record is from RNAcentral.
UACGUAGGGGGCAAGCGUUGUCCGGAAUCAUUGGGCGUAAAGAGCGUGUAGGCGGCCAGAUAAGUCCGCUGUGAAAUCUCGAGGCUCAACUUCGAGCUGUCGGUGGAAACUGUCUGGCUAGAGUCCGGAAGAGGAGAAUGGAAUUCCUGGUGUAGCGGUGAAAUGCGCAGAUAUCAGGAAGAACCCCCGUGGCGAAGGCGGUUCUCUGGGACGGUACUGACGCUGAGACGCGAAAGCGUGGGGAGCGAACAGG